GCCGCUCCGCGGCAUGUGGGAUCUUCCCGGACCGGGGCCCGAACCCGUGGCCCCUGCAUCGGCAGGCGGACUCUCAACCACUGCGCCACCAGGGAGGCCCACUUAGCUAGUCUUGAUUGCUAAUUACUGUUUGAACUUUUUCAAAGUAUAAAAUACACGUGAAAAAGGGUACAGGUCAAGAAUGUACAGCUUGAUGAAUUUUCACCAGCUGAACACACCUGCGUAAUCAGCACCUAGAUCAAGAAACAGAUCGUCACCACACCCAAGCAGCUUCCCUCACUACUUUUUCAGUCAAGGGUAACCACUUUCCUGAUUUCCAACAGCACAGGUUGGUCCAACCUGUUUUUGAACUUUAUCUAUAGAAUCUUUCAACAUGUUCUCUUUUUUUUUAUCUGUUUUCUUUUUUCACUCAGCAUUUCAUCUAUGAGACUCAUCCAUAUUGUUGUGUAUAGACUUUUCAUCAUCAUUGCUUUAGAGCAACCUGUUGUAUGUGUAACAUUUUUUGAUCAGAUAUUUAUUUUCAACACAUAGAGUUAAAAAAUAAUUAUGCACUGGUGUUAAGGCUUGCUUUCUCCAAUUUCCUAACCCCCCAACAUGUAGUUUCUUAAUGGAGUUAGUCAAGGAAACUUUACAUUAUAGAAAGGAAAAUGUUGGAUUCCCGUUAAUUCUGCCUUGUUUAGAUUUUUCCACAAUGGGAAGUGUUAACAGGGGAAGUGUAAUGAUGCCUGGGAAAGACAUCCACUGUUUGUCAGCCAAAUUUGCCAGGCCAGUGUAACUGACUUCCCGUGUAAUUCCCGAGGCACUUGAAGACAGGAAAAGAUGCUGCCGUCUCACUGCUCCCGUAGGAGCGCCCAAACCAAAGCUGGAGCCAGGCCCAGGUGUGACGUGGUUUAAAUUGGUCUCUGGUGCUGCCCCAUUCUCCUUAUCACCAUCUGCCAUCUCCUAUUGCUCACUAACAAGUCUGUGAUUAUGGUCUUCUUCAUCAGUAGAUAUACACCACCUAGAAAUGACUUAACCCAGUAGUUUUCCAUUAUUUCACCACCUCCUAUCAACCCAGUUGGGAUUUUAGAGAUAGUUUGAAUAAGGCAAUAUCCCUAGACCAUGCUACGAUCUUUUGUAUGUAAUUGUGUCUUUAUGUCAGAGAUACUUGGAGAUCAAGUGUCUCCUAAGGAGAGGAAUAUGAGUUGACAAACCUAGUAAGAUAUAGGAGACCCUAGUGAGAAUAUGAAUCUUUUACAGGCAAUGGAAAACAAUUUGUCAUUCCACACUAAAGAAUGGGGUCUGCUGAUACCAUUCAGCAUUCUUCUAGAAUGGUGAGGUCAGUCAUGUGCAUGGAAAUGGGAAGAGCCAGAAAUCUCGUGCUCCCCUCUGUGUCUCCCUUGAUCUGGUGUUAUCACGGUCACAAUGGGGAAACACACCUUACCUCACUCUUCAAAAUACUGGUCGUCUCUUCCCCCUUUUUAGUUAGGUAGUUGUUUAAUAAACUUGCCUUGUACAAAGCAGAUGCUCAACAACAAUAAUAACGUCUACCUUUCCCAGGGAUGUUGGCACUUUAGCAGAGGAUCCUGAAUGCCUAAAUCUAAAUCCAAAGGAUACAUGUCAAGUUUAUAGGUUAGAAUAAAAAUAAUAAUAGGCAUUAGUUUUUAGAGCAUUUGCUAGGUGCUGGGUACUAUGUGAAGCACUAUAAAUGCAUUAUCUUGUUUAAUCCUCUUAUUAUCCUCAUUUUAUGACUGAAGCAUUGAGCUCUAGUAAAUUUCUGAAGGUCAGACAGCUGAUAAGUGGCAGAAUUGUAAUUCAAUUACAGCCAAAUCUGUCUGAUCGAAGAGCCAAGUUCUCAAUCAUUGCAACACAGACACUUUCUUGUGGAUUGUGCAUUUACUUCUCUGCUGUAACAAUUCUGCUUUUUACUGCUUACUGCCAUUAUUUUCUUUGCUCUGUCACAUAUUGCAUCGAACUUGUUUUUUCUCACACCUGUCCCUGAUGCCAUAUUCUCUUUUGUCUCAUUGCACAUAGCAAAGAGCCAGUUGUAUAAAAUAGUCUCCUGAUUUUUCAGGUUCAUAAAGUAAAAUACUUUCUAGAGAAAGGCUUUUCUCAGCUCCUGGCUUGGUUCCUGUUUAUUAUGAAGCAUUUCUUCUCCUUCCUAUUUAGUCUCCAAGAUUUUUUUAAAUCUUUUUUUUUUUUUUGGCUGUACCAUGCAGCAUGUGGGAUCUUAGUUCCCCGACCAGGGAUUGAACUCACACCCCCUACAUUGGAAGCGCAGAGUCUUAACCACUGGACUGCCAAGGAAGUCCCUAGUCUCCAUGAUUUUGAUUUAUUGAUGUUCAUUGUCAUUCACAAACCUGAAAAGAUAGUUUCAAGCAUUUGUCUUAAAUUACUUACUGAAGCUUCCUAGGGCAAGGACAAGGUAGCAGGCUAGAUGAAGUGGAAGCCCAGAACUCCUGCCAGAUGAGCUGCAGGGUUUCAUUAGCUAGGAUUAGGGGUACAGAUCUCAGAUCCCAUUUCUGAGGCAUGGCUGUACAUAGAUGUUCUCUCCACGAUGCAUCUGGGUACUGAGGUUAGGCAAUUUAGAGGAGAAAGCCAGACUGUGGCAAAAUCUUACUCACUUGUGAUAUAGGGUUGAGCCUUUGUGUCAUUAUUACUAUAGUUACUGAAAAAAAAAAAAAACCACUGAAGUAAUGGCGUUGGAGACAAGGAGAUUGCUGACAUUUUCUUUUAUUGCACAAUCUUCCUAGGAAUCCUGCAACCUGACUGUCCAAUCACGGAAUUCUUUAGAAACUGAGCUGGUCCAAGGAAGGAGAGCUUUUUAGAGAAGCAUCCCUGAAAUCACAUCACAGCAACUGCCAACUUUGCCUAAACACAGAGCCCGGUGAUGCUGGCGUACACAGAGGAAUGUGCAGUGGCUGAACUUUUGGCCAAAUGGGGUCUUGGAAACCUGCAUGGUGACAUGGGAAGAACAGGGGCUUUGAAGUCAGACUUCACGACCUUGGAUUUAAGAAGUGGUUCUAGUAUUAGCUCUGCAGUCCUGGACAAGGCAACUAACUUGCUUAAGUUUCAAUUUUAUCAUCUGCACAAUGUCACUCACACAGCCUAUAAUCAACAUCACAUACUAGUAUUGCUGAUUUUAAGUCAGUUUCUCCCUCUAGACUAAGGUCCAUAAGGAGAAGGAUAUGUCUUGCUCAUUGCUACAUUCUACCAUGCCUAGUACACCGUCUGGCAAGAACUAGGUGAUCAAUAAACAGUUAUUAAGUUAAUAAGAAGCUCUAUAACAAAAAAAAAAUAUCUACUGGGAUUUUUAUUAUAAUUGGGAUUAUAUAGAAUUAGAUUAAUUUUAGGAGUAUCUAUAUUUUUAUGACUCAUAAACAUAAUAUAUCUUUUUGUUUCUGUAAUGUUUUCACUAAGGUUUUAUAAUUUUUGCUACAAAGACUCACACAUGUUUUGUUAGGUUUAUCCCCAGGUAUGUGAAGUUUUUAUAACACUGUAAAAGUCUUCUUAUAAAAACACCAGAUUUUCUAAUUCUUGGGGUUGAUGCUUAGAAUUGAAACUUAACUUUGUAUAUUAUUUAUUAAGUCACAUUUUAAAGUUUUGUUACUAGUUCUAAUAAUUUAUCUGUAGAUUCACUGAGGUUUUCUACCAGACAAUUACAUCAUUUGCAAUAAAGAUGAUUUUAUUUCUUA
Delphinapterus leucas (beluga whale) is the source of this 3674-nucleotide non-coding RNA. Lineage: Eukaryota; Metazoa; Chordata; Mammalia; Artiodactyla; Monodontidae. The record is from RefSeq and is a predicted model, not a curated record.